GACGUAGGGGGCGAGCGUUGUCCGGAAUCAUUGGGCGUAAAGAGCACGUAGGCGGCCUGUUAAGUCGGAUGUGAAAACCCGCGGCUCAACUGCGGGACUGCAUCUGAUACUGGCAGGCUAGAGUCCAGUAGAGGAAAGUGGAAUUCCCAGUGUAGCGGUGAAAUGCGCAGAUAUUGGGAAGAACACCGGUGGCGAAGGCGGCUUUCUGGGCUGAGACUGACGCUGAGGUGCGAAAGCUAGGGGAG
This 245-nucleotide ribosomal RNA is filed under the name uncultured bacterium. RNAcentral's name for it is "partial 16S ribosomal RNA". It matches the Rfam family "Bacterial small subunit ribosomal RNA", at positions 524 to 768 of the family's 1533-position model. The record is from RNAcentral.